CACGUAGGGGGCGAGCGUUGUCCGGAAUCAUUGGGCGUAAAGAGCUCGUAGGCGGCUCAGUAAGUCGGGUGUGAAACCCCCAGGCUCAACCUGGGGACGCCACCCGAUACUGCUGUGGCUAGAGUCCAGUAGGGGAGUGUGGAAUUCCCGGUGUAGCGGUGAAAUGCGCAGAUAUCGGGAGGAACACCAGCGGCGAAGGCGGCACUCUGGGCUGGAACUGACGCUGAGGAGCUAAAGCGUGGGUAGCAAACAGG
RNAcentral lists this ribosomal RNA (254 nucleotides) under uncultured bacterium. RNAcentral describes it as "partial 16S ribosomal RNA". It matches the Rfam family "Bacterial small subunit ribosomal RNA", at positions 524 to 776 of the family's 1533-position model. The record is from RNAcentral.